Molecule: ribosomal RNA, 2487 nt
Filed under: Malassezia slooffiae
Lineage: Eukaryota; Fungi; Basidiomycota; Malasseziomycetes; Malasseziales; Malasseziaceae
Description: LSU rRNA
Rfam family: Bacterial large subunit ribosomal RNA
Source: RNAcentral
AAUAUAGGUAUCAUUAUGAUAUGGAGUAUACAAUUAAGUAUUUAAAGGGAUUCGUAAGGAUACCUAGCAGAUAUAUUUGAAAGGAAGUAUUUUUACUUAAAGUAUAAGUACUCAAUUUGUAGUCUUAUAACAAUCCUAAGGAAAACCAAUAUAUGUGGAUUACGUUGGGAAUUAAAACAUUUAAGUACCAAUAGGAAAGGAAAUCAAAUGAGACUUCUGUAGUAAUGGUGAGUGAAACAGAAUUAGCUUUCAAAUGAUCUUUAUUGAUUAAUAGCAAGUAGUAAUAAUAUUGUGGAAUUCAAUAUGAAUAUAAUAUUCUAAUUGAAUAUUAUUGACCAAAGAAGGUGAAAGUCCUAGUUUACUACAUACUAUCCAAAGAUUUGGUAGGUUUCUUGCUAAUAAAGAUUCUUUGUUAUUAAGUAAUGCGAAGACGGCUGCUUUGUAUGAAAUGUAGGGGAUACCAUUCUCCAAAGCUAAGUAUAAUAUAUCUAGCGAUAGUGAAGAGUAACGUAAGUGAAAGGUGAAAAGUAAGUGGAUGACUAGUGAAAUAGAUCUUGAAUUACGAAUCUUAUAAGCAGUUGGAGUUCAAUAGAAUUGAAUGACAACGUACCUUUUGCAUAAUGGGUCAGCAAGUUAAUCUUAAAUGCAAGACGAACAGUCUAAGCGAAAGCAACUCAGUAUAUUGUAAAUAUACAGGGGAUUAGUAUUUAGGAUUAGAUCCGAAACCAGAUGAUCUUUUCAUGGCCAGGUUCUAAUGGACCGAACAGCAAAAUGUUGCAGUAUUUUCUGAUGAGCUGUGAAAAGUGGUGAAAUGCUAAUCUAAUCUGGUGAUAGCUGAUAUUCUGCGAAAUCUAUUUUAGUAGAACAUUUAUUUCAAUAUUCGAAUCGGUAUAGCACUGAUCUUCAUUGUCUACUUAUUUAGUAAGGAUGACAUUAAUUAGGGGAUUAUAGAAUCCUACUAUUGAAGGUUAACCUCAAAAGGAUUCGAAUACAUGAUAAGUGGACAGUCUAUUUGUGAUAAGGUAAAUAGACAAAAGGGAAACAGCCCUAAUCGUGAAUUAAGGUACCCUAAAUAAUAUUUAGUGAAAUUAAGAAAGUUUGUUAUCUAAGACAACCAUGAAGUAAGCUUGGAAGUAGCUAUCUUUUAAUGAUAGUGUAACAACUCAAUGGUCUAAUUGAUGAUGAGCAUCGAAGAUUUAUCGGGUCUAGAUAUUUAACCAAUAUCACGAUAUAAUUUUGUUUUCUAUUUUUCGUAAAACAAAUUAUAAGGUAGCAGAACACUCAAUAUUUAGGUUGAAGAGUUGGAUUAAUCUAACUUUGACUAUAUUGAAGAGACAAUGCUGACAUGAGUAACGAUUAAGAAGUUAAAAUACUUCUCACCGUAUACGAAAGGUUUUCAUGAAAAAGGUAAUCUGUCAUGAUUUAUACGGAUUCUAAGGAAAAAUGUACGAAUUGUGUUUUUCUGAUGAAAUAGAAGAAUGAACUUCCUACCAAGGGACAGGAAAAACAUUCUUUUCUUGUAUACAAGAUAUCCGUACCCUAAACCGACACAGGUUCGUUGGUAGAGUAUACUAAGGCGUAGAGAUAAGGCUAGUGAAGGAACUCGGCAAAAUGCUUCCGUAAGUUCGACGAGAAGGAAGGAGUAAUCUGUUAAUAGAUUACUUAUCAUAAAAGUGGGGGCUUCGACUGUUUACUAAAAACACAGCAACUUGCUAUGACGAAAUGUAUUUGUAUAAGUUGUGAACUCUGUCCAAUGCCAACCGUUUAAAGAAGGUGAUUAUUGAAUUCUAAGGAAUUUAAUAAGUUACUAACUGAUGCGGUGGUCAAUGACGGUCUUAACCAUAAGGAUCUGAAAGUAGCGAAAUUCAUUGUCCAUUAAAUGUGGUCCUGCAUGAAUGAGGUAACGCGGCCCUGCUGUCUCCACUAGCUUCUCAGUGAAAUUGAAUUAGCCGUGCAGAUGCGGUUUGCCUUCCGGAGGACGCGAAGACCCUAUGCAGCUUUACUGUAAUUUGAUAUUGUUCUUUGCUAAAUCUAGUGUAGAAUACAAGGGAGUGUAAACGUCAGUGAAAUACCUUGAUAGAUUUUAGAAAAGAACUAACCUUUUAUGUAAGGGGACAUUAUCAGAAGGUCAGUUUUGCUGGGGCGGUAGCCUCUAAAAAAGUAUCAGAGGCCUUCAAAGGUAUAUUUGUAUUGGUCAGAAACCAAUGAAUUACUAAGAAUUCAAUAAAGCGUAAUAGUCAAAUAUGCUUGACUGAUAGACUGAUAGGUCGAUCAGAUACGCAAGUAGGAUAUAGUGAUCCGGUGAUCCAUAAUGGAAUGAUCAUCGCUCAAGAAAUAAAAGUUACGCUAGGGAUAACAGGUUUAUCGUUUGCAAGAGUUCAUAUUGUCCAAACGGUUUGACACCUCGAUGUCGACUCUUCUCAUCCUCCAGGUGUAGUAGCUUGGAAGGGUUCAGCUGUUCGCUGAGUAAAGAGGAACGUGAGUUGG